GUUGAAUACCACUAAGCUGUACUGCGUACCGCCGUACUACGGCCAUUUACGACACGUGUUACCGCGGCAACGCGACCUGCUUUACGGCAACGCGACCGAACUGCUCUAGGGCAACGCGACCUGCUUUACGGCAAUCCGAGCUGCUUUAAUGCAACGCGACCUGCUUUGCUUUACGGCAACGCGCGAUGCAGUUUCACUUUACGGCAUAAGCCUAUGGGUUUCUAUGGGACCCCUGUCUGUCUCUAUGGGUCUCUAUGGGUCCCUAUGGGUCUCUAUGGGUCCCUAUGGGGUCUCUAUGGGUCUCUAUGGGUCUCUAUGGGUCUCUAUGGGGUCCCUAUGGGUCCCUAUGGGUCUCUAUGGGUCUCUAUGGGUCCCCAUUCAUCCCUAUGGGGUCCCCAUGUAUCCCUAUGGGUUUCUAUGGGGUUUCUAUGGGGUCCCUAUGGGUCUCUAUGGGGUCGCUAUGGGUCUCUAUGGGUCUCUAUGGGGUCUCUAUGGGUCCCUAUGGUUCUCUAUGGGGUCCCCAUGUAUCUCUAUGGGUCCCUAUGGGUCUCUAUGGGUCCCUAUGGUUCUCUAUGGUUCUCUAUGGGGUCCCUAUGGUUUUCUAUGGGGUCUCUAUGGGUCUCUAUGGGGCAUUAUGGGGUCCCUAUGGGUCUCUAUGGGUCUCUAUGGGUCCCUAUGUGUCCCUGUGUGUCCCUAUGGGUCUCUAUGGGUCCCUAUGGGUCUCUAUGGGUCCCUAUGGGUCUCUAUGGGUCCCUAUGUAUCCCUAUGGUUCCCUAUGUGUCUCUAUGGGUCCCUAUGGGUCUCUAUGGGUCCCUAUGGGUCCCUAUGGCUCCCUAUGUCCCCCUAUGUAUCUCUAUGGGGUCUCUAUGGGUCUCUAUGUAUCCCUAUUGGUUCCCUAUGGGGUCUCUAUGGGUCUCUAUGGGUCCCUAUGGGUCCCUAUGGGUCUCCAUGGGGUCCCUAUGUAUCCCUAUGGGUCCCUAUGUAUCCCUAUGUGUCUCACUCAAUGGCGGGCAGCAGAUACUGUUUCCGCAGCGCCUCGAAGUGCGGCCCGAGGUUCGCGCUCCCUUCGAUGACGAACACGACGUCGGCCACCAUGGCGGAAGGACCGGAAACCACCAUGGAUCCGCUUCCGGGUCGGCCUAAGAACCGGAAGCGGAAGUAG
Molecule: long non-coding RNA, 1162 nt
Filed under: Coturnix japonica (Japanese quail)
Lineage: Eukaryota; Metazoa; Chordata; Aves; Galliformes; Phasianidae
Description: lncRNA (ENSCJPG00005000538.1)
Source: RNAcentral